UGCCAGACUCCUACGGGAGGCAGCAGUUAGGAAUAUUCGUCAAUGGGGGAAACCCUGAACGAGCAAUGCCGCGUGAAGGAUGACGGUCCUCUGGAUUGUAAACUUCUGUUGUUAGGGAAGAACGACCUAAGUAGGAAAUGACUUAGGAGUGACGGUACCUUUCAAGAAAGCUCCGGCUAACUACGUGCCAGCAGCCGCGGUAAUACGUAGGGGGCGAGCGUUAUCCGGAUUCACUGGGUGUAAAGGGAGCGUAGACGGCCAUGCAGGCCAGGGGUGAAAGCCCGGGGCCCAACCCCGGGACUGCCCUUGGAACUGUGCGGCUAGAGUGCGGGAGGGGCAGGCGGAAUUCCUGGUGUAGCGGUGAAAUGCGUAGAUAUCAGGAGGAACACCGGCGGCGAAGGCGGCCUGCUGGACCGCGACUGACGUUGAGGCUCGAAAGCGUGGGGAGCGAACAGGAUUAGAUACCCUAGUAAU
Molecule: ribosomal RNA, 474 nt
Filed under: uncultured bacterium
Lineage: Bacteria
Description: bacterial SSU rRNA
Rfam family: Bacterial small subunit ribosomal RNA
Source: RNAcentral